This 423-nucleotide ribosomal RNA is filed under the name uncultured bacterium. Its description in RNAcentral is "bacterial SSU rRNA". It matches the Rfam family "Bacterial small subunit ribosomal RNA", at positions 355 to 774 of the family's 1533-position model. The record is from RNAcentral.
UAGGGAAUAUUGGACAAUGGGGGGAACCCUGAUCCAACCAUGCCGCGUGGAGGAAGACUGCCCUCUGGGUUGUAAACUCCUUUUAUAUGGGAAGAACCGUCCUCAUUGAUGAGUGACCUGACGGUACCAUAGGAAUAAGCACCGGCUAACUCCGUGCCAGCAGCCGCGGUAAUACGGAGGGUGCAAGCGUUAUCCGGAUUCACUGGGUUUAAAGGGUGCGUAGGCGGAUAUGUAAGUCAGUGGUGAAAUCAACGGGCUCAACCUGUUAACUGCCAUUGAUACUGUGUAUCUUGAAUAUGAGAGAGGUAGGCGGAAGGUUGCAUGUAGCGGUGAAAUGCUUAGAUAUGCUACGGAACACCGAUUGCGAAGGCAGCUUACUAUUUCGUAAUUGACGCUGAGGCACGAAAGCGUGGGUAGCGAACA